UCAGUCCUAGAAACACUGAUGAAUAAAGGGGUGGGCAAGUUCUGGUGUCAGCCGCCGCGGUAAAACCAGCACCUCAAGUGGUCAGGAUGAUUAUUGGGCCUAAAGCAUCCGUAGCCGGCUCUGUAAGUUUUCGGUUAAAUCUGUACGCUCAACGUACAGGCUGCCGGGAAUACUGCAGAGCUAGGGAGUGGGAGAGGUAGACGGUACUCGGUAGGAAGGGGUAAAAUCCUUUGAUCUAUUGAUGACCACCUGUGGCGAAGGCGGUCUACCAGAACACGUCCGACGGUGAGGGAUGAAAGCUGGGGGAGCAAACCGGAUUAGAUACCCGGGUAGUCCCAGCUGUAAACUAUGCAAACUCAGUGAUGCAUUGGCUUGUGGCCAAUGCAGUGCUGCAGGGAAGCCGUUAAGUUUGCCGCCUGGGAAGUACGUACGCAAGUAUGAAACUUAAAGGAAUUGGCGGGGGAGCACCACAAGGGGUGAAGCCUGCGGUUCAAUUGGAUUCAACGCCGGGAAUC
This 515-nucleotide ribosomal RNA is filed under the name uncultured Nitrososphaerota archaeon. RNAcentral's name for it is "bacterial SSU rRNA". It matches the Rfam family "Archaeal small subunit ribosomal RNA", at positions 413 to 926 of the family's 1478-position model. The record is from RNAcentral. Lineage: Archaea; Thermoproteati; Nitrososphaerota.